Molecule: ribosomal RNA, 256 nt
Filed under: uncultured Pseudomonas sp.
Lineage: Bacteria; Pseudomonadati; Pseudomonadota; Gammaproteobacteria; Pseudomonadales; Pseudomonadaceae
Description: partial 16S ribosomal RNA
Rfam family: Bacterial small subunit ribosomal RNA
Source: RNAcentral
CGGCGGACGGGUGAGUAAUGCCUAGGAAUCUGCCUGGUAGUGGGGGACAACGUUUCGAAAGGAACGCUAAUACCGCAUACGUCCUACGGGAGAAAGCAGGGGACCUUCGGGCCUUGCGCUAUCAGAUGAGCCUAGGUCGGAUUAGCUAGUUGGUGAGGUAAUGGCUCACCAAGGCGACGAUCCGUAACUGGUCUGAGAGGAUGAUCAGUCACACUGGAACUGAGACACGGUCCAGACUCCUCGGGAGGCAGCAGCG